GUCAAUAUCUUGCUGGUGUGUGUGGUUUUUCCUUCGCAUAUACUGGAUAUAUUCUGUGGCUUUGUCUAGGAUUUGGGCCCGGGAUGCCUGUGGCAAUAUGAGAAAAAGCACAGGGGACAAAAUAAAAACCCAAUCCAGGCAGUGAGGGAACCUGGCCUGCAGCAACUGCUUGGGUGGCUGGAAACGAGAGGGUAAGGUGGGAAAAGGCUGAAGAAAUACAAUAAUGGCUACUGUAGGCUUUAUUUAUUUAUUUAUUUUUUUAUUUUUUUGAGACAGAGUUUCGCUCUUGUUGCCCAAGCUGGAGUGCAACAGCGUGAUCUUGGCUGACAGCAACCUCCGCCUCCUGGGUUCAAGUGAUUCUCCUGCCUCAGCCUCCUGAGUAGCUAGGAUUAUAGGUGUGCGCCACCACGCCCAUCUAAUUUUUUUGUAUUUUUAGUAGAAAUGCGGUUUCACCAUGUUAGCCAGGCUGGUCUCAAACUCCUGGCCUCAGGUGAUCUGCCCACCUUGGCCUCCCAAAAUGCUGGGAUUAUAGGUCACAGGUGUGAGCCACUGCGCCCAGCCUGUUGUUGUUGUUGUUGUUGUUGUUUUUUUUUUUUUGGAGACGUAGUCUCGCUCUGUUGCCCAGGCUGGAGUAGAGUGGUGUGAUCUCAGCUCACUGCAACCUCCACCUCCCAGGUUCAAGUGAUUCUUCUGCCUCAGCCUCCAGAGUAGCUGGGAUUACAAGUACAUGCCACGUUGCCUGGCUAAUUUUUACAUUUUUAAUAAAGAUGGGGUUUCACCAUGUUGGCCAGACUGGUCUCAAACUCCUCACCUCAGGUGAUCCACCUACCUCGGCCUCCCAAACUGCUGGGAUUACAGGCGUGAGCCACUGCAUCCGUGAAGGCCUUCUUUGUGACAUACAAGGUGCCAAGUGCUUUACAGAGCUUAACUCACAAGAUUAGUCUCAGAGGUAGCUCUACUAAGAACCCAAGGAUCAGAGAAGUACACCGCUUUAUUCAAAAUCACCAGCUGCACAGUAGCAUGGCCUGGCUUUAAACUCAGAGCCAUCCGACUCCUGAACUGUACUCCUCCCAUCUCCUCUGGUUCUUUAGGUUGCUUUAAAGUCUUUAGCUUGGCUAUGUCUGGAAACAUUAAAAUACUACUUAAAUGAAAGCUUUAGGUCACUAAUUCUGCUAGGGCCUGGCUUGAGACAGGAAUGGGUACAAUGUGUUUCAUCAAGACCCAAGAUUCCAGCCAAACUCUGAAACCACUGUUAACUAUUCCGAACUGAACAAUGCUGCUGUGUCACUACUUCAGCCUUCCUGGCUAAAGAGACUUUCAUAAAAAGCUGUCGGUGCUUGAUGUCAACACAGGAAGAGCAUGAGAUUGGGCCAUUUCAGGAAACAACCACACCUCUACAAUGGCUGUGGGUUGCCUGGGUACUGCCUUGCUAGAGUAAGUUCGUAAGUCAAUAACAUGGAUGUCAUGUUACUGUGCCCCUAGACAUCAAACUUGUCUGGGAGAUUCUCUCCAGGCUACAAACAUAGUCAGAGUUACUUAUGGCCAGGCAGCCAGCCAAACUGGUAGAAUAGUACAAAGCCAAGCGAAGCUCAAGGCGGGGUAGCCUAGUAGCUUAAGUAUGGCCUUCCAGCCAGAGACUCCUGAGCAGCCGGAAAGCUUCUUACUCAGGGUAGGGAGUGCUUGACAAUUCUGUAUUACAAGCCCAAUGGGUCCUAAACAACCAGAACACAACAGCGGGAGAAAGACAAAGAAAACAUGUACACCGUGGCUAGCAAAACCAGAUCUACUCAUAUUAAAUCCUAACAAUCUCAAUUUAUAGGCCUCAGUUUGGGCUGAGUUUCAGAAAGGUUUGUAAGGCCCGUGCUUAUUCAUAAGUCCUCACAAGUACUAGAAUUUCCAGGCUUUCCUCUUUAGCACCCUUAAGGUAAUUUCCUCAAGGAAAUUGUUCAUAAUCAACCAUUUUUAUCAGGUGCAAAUUACGUACAAGAUACUAGGCAGAUACUGUGGGGAAACAAAAUGUAUUAGUCAUGGCUUCUUUGCCCCAAAGCUUACUUACUAUCUAGUUGAGGAGAUAAAUAUGUCUAUACAUGGAAAUAUCACAGGGCAGUGCUGACAAGCGUAACCUGACUAGCAGAGACUAGAGACACCACGGGAAAGAUGGCUUCUGGCUGGGGUGAUUACCUACUGUGUGCUACGCAUUGGCCUUGGUGCUGCAUGUGUGCAUGCAACACGCUCCUAUCUGAAAUGGUGAGCCCUGUGUUAGACCAAGGUGGCGUUUGGAAUAGCACAGUCAAGAUGGGAUGGGGAAAAAGUGAGAUGCGUUUCUUUAGUUGAGUCAGUCAGCUUAUGCAGAAGGAAUGAGAGUUCCUAGCCUAGCAAUGGAUACUUCAGACACUGUUUCCCAUUUCUACAAAGGGACCUUAUUAGGGUUUAUUAGGUGACAAAAUGGGGUGGAAAAAAGGAGCACAUAAUUAGAAGGGACUAAUUAAAAUACCUUCCUCUCUGGAUACUGGAGAUGGAAUGAAAAAUGAUUAGUAUUGAUAAGAGGUGGUAGAGUGGCAAGGAAGAAUUUGGGAAUUAGAGGACAGAGGAGUGCUCUGCAUGCUUGUCAUUAAUGGGUUCUGUAGCUGCAGACACAUUUCUCACCUUGCCUAUUCCUCAUCUGACUAGAAAUUCUCUAAGACCCCAUCUAGCCCUCCAAAGUCUACCCUUUCCAUCACUGAUGUAAUUUACAUCCCUCUAUUUAAAUUUGCCUAUGUAAAAGCUAUUUUUUCAACUAAUAGUUCCCAGAAGGCAACAUUAGCUCUUAACUACCCAUGUGCAUCCGGGACAAGGGAAAAAAUGCACAAUCUCUGAAACCAGAGAGCACUUGCAAAUGUUCAGUGAUAACUUUUAAUGAAUGACCAGACUGAGUAACAGCCUUUUUGCUACCAGUUUCUCCUUCAAAUAUUUAUACAUGAAACCAGGGAAUUAGGAUCAAGAAGUGAAAAGUGAGCAGUAAGCACAGCAAAACAAGCCAGAAGAGAGAAAAAGAUCUGUGAGGGAUGGCAGUUUCCAUUUCAGGGUAAUUUUUGGAUGAAGAUAAAAUUCAUAGAUGUUCAGAACAUAGUGUCUUGGGAACAACAGGAGUCCAAAGAAGGCUGGAUUGGUUUAAACUCAGAACGAGGCCUUCAGAAUGCUAAGCACAGCCCUUCCUCCAUCCUCUGCUGAAAGCAGAAGUGCCCCUGGUCACUUAGGGUGCCCUGAUCCCUCAGCAAGUCCAAAAGAAUGGUUCAGAGUUAACUUUAUUUUACUCUUCCCAGGGUACCCAACAAGAAUUAAGGCCCAACAAGAAAAAAAUUUAAAGCACAAAAUACAGAAAUACCCCAAAUUUGCAUGUGCAUGUAGUCCAGGAAAGAAAAAGCAAAAGGCUGAAGCUAAAAAUGCUAGACUCACCUGCAAUCCUCCCCUCCCAUCUUUCCACUCCAUACAAGAUCAUGUGGCCAAACACAGGAUGAAGGUGGGGGCAGGGCCUUCCUUGUCUUUAUGAGUUUAUAAUAUGUGACCAGCAAACACGAAACCAGCAAGAAACCCUGGGAUUUAUGGCAUGGACUAUGGAAUAACCCUGGACUUUCAGUUUCUGUUUUCUGAAAAUUGCUCUAAGUCAGCUGAGUCAACUGCCUAUCUUCAUGUGAGUGUGACUGAUCAGAUAGAACUUGGUAAGUCAACAUGUCCACAGAGCAAGUGCUGCCUUGGGUACUCAGUAAAAGCCUGAAAAUUUUUUUCCUGAUAGUUUUUAUAAUUAGCAGAAUCAUAAUUUUGAGUCUGUCUUUGUGAACAGAAAUGGCUCUUUAAAUGGCUUGGAUGGAGCCCUGAGACAGGGUGGAUGGUGGCUGAAGGGACUGAAGAGGUAGCCAGGCCUCCCAUGUAGCCAUGUAAGCAAACGCAAAGGGCUCAGCAGGCCUCUCUCUCACCUCUGGGAGCCACACAAAGGGAUACUGGGCAGCCUUGCGAGAUCUUGCUCCAAAGCCAUGGCUGCACAUAGCAACACAAGUGACAAUGAUGAUGGGGGUGGUAACAAUGGCAGCACUAACACUUACUGAGUACUUACUAAGUGUCAGGCAUCCUCACACAACCUUCUGAUGUUUUCCCUAUUUUAUAAAUGAGGAAACCGAGACACAGAGCUGUAAUUUACCCAAUGUUAUGUAAACUAAUAGGAAGUUGAGUCAGGAUUUGAAUCCAAGCCUCCAGGACACUCAUACUUUGGGAACACAGGGGAAGCUAUGGAACUAAUUUAAAAAGAUCAAUAGAAUUGCAGGGACACUGUUGUCAUGGAGGGGAAAGUUGGAGGAGGAAAAGGACUACGAAAGUCACCUGAUUUGCCUACAAGGACGUCAAAUGGAAGACCCUAGUGAAGGUGGUUUUCUUGGAGGAGUGACAGCCGAAGCCCAAUGGUAAAUUGUCUCUGCACCGGUAACAGGCAUAAGAAUUGAGUUGCAAGUGAGGCAAUGAUGAAGACUAGUCUUCAGAAUUUGGUUGAAAAGUAAGAAGUAGGCCAGGUGCAGUGGCUCAUGCCUGUAAUCCCAGCACCCUGGGAGGCUGAGGUGGGAGGAUCACUAGGGCUCAGGUGUUGGGGACCAGCCUAGAAAACACAGCAAGACACUUGGGCUCUAUAAAAAAAUCAAAAGAUUAGCUGGGCAUGGUGGUACACGAAUGUGGUCCCAGCUACUUGGGAGGCAAAGGUGGGAGGAUCUCUUGAGCCCAUGGGGCUGAAGCUGCAGUGAGACAGGCUUGUGCCAACACACUCCAGCCUGAAAAAAAAGAGUGAGACCCUGUAUAAAAAAAAAAAAGUGAAAAAUGGUAGUUUGUAAUAGCAGGAUAGCAGCAUUGAAGGAAGGUUAUUUUUCUUUCUAUUUUAAAGACAGGUGAGAACUAAACAGGCUUCUAGCAGAAACACAUUGAAAGGAAAAGCCUCAAGAUGCAAGCGAGCUUGAGAGAACUGACCUAACCAUCUGGUCUGGAGGGCAGAAGUGGAAGGUUAGGUGGGGGAUGUCAGCUUCCCACAGUACACUGCUGGCUUCAUUACCUCUUGGCAGCCCAGAAGGAUAAAAGCAAAAUGAAUAAUGUAGAAGGGACCCAGGGUGUGGCAGAGGGUCUGCCAGGUUCCUGUCCCUCCUACUGUUUAUGCUGCAGCUACGUGUCCAUUUGCAUUCCCUCCCAAGGCAGUAAGCAGACAGAGGGAAGGCCAACCCUCUCAAGCAGAGGCACCCACUGUCAGACCUCUGCUUUUGAACAGCAUCCACCCACCCCACACAUCACAGCAAGAACUGACUACAUAUGUCACAAAAGGCCUCAGACCCAAAAGACUUGGAUUCUAAAUAGAACCGUUUAAGGCCCCAAAUGACUCCUGAAGUUGUUAGCACUGAUGCUUCAGACGAAGUCCAAGGUUAUUAAAUCUCAUUUAAAGCAAUGGUUCUCAAAAAUUUUCAAUGUAAGGCAAGAGUUCCAAAUAUUUCUGGAGUUAUAAAUUUUAUCACAGUAACUUGGAUUUCUGUAAAACUUCAAGUUGUUUUAGAAAGUGGGUGGGGAGAGGUGAGGAAAAGAAUAGUAGUGCUAGAUUGUUAACAUUAGGAACACCACUGCCCUUCCCUAGGGUCCCAAUGCUGACGUGAGAAACAAUAAUCUUAACUCUACUGAACACUUUUCCUCUUCAGUGCCCAAAACAGAUGCCAGUGGGCUGAUGUUACAGCUGUCUUGUUCCCCUAAGAACCAAAAUGCCAUAUCUGGAGGGAUGAAAAAAGAGGUACUGCUGGACUCAACAACUGACAUCUGUUUUAUUUUGUACUAGUUAUUUUAGAGAAAAUGAAACCAUUUAUUUUCUGAAACCUGUGUAAGCUUUUACACAUAUGAAG
Molecule: long non-coding RNA, 5891 nt
Filed under: Homo sapiens (human)
Lineage: Eukaryota; Metazoa; Chordata; Mammalia; Primates; Hominidae
Description: HSALNT0377530
Source: RNAcentral